RNAcentral lists this ribosomal RNA (433 nucleotides) under uncultured bacterium. RNAcentral describes it as "partial 16S ribosomal RNA". It matches the Rfam family "Bacterial small subunit ribosomal RNA", at positions 29 to 507 of the family's 1533-position model. The record is from RNAcentral.
AACGAACGCUGGCGGCAUGCCUAACACAUGCAAGUCGAACGAGACCUUCGGGUCUAGUGGCGCACGGGUGCGUAACGCGUGGGAACCUGCCCUUAGGUUCGGAAUAACUCCCCGAAAGGGGUGCUAAUACCGGAUAAUGUCUUCGGACCAAAGAUUUAUCGCCUUUGGAUGGGCACGCGUUGGAUUAGCUAGUUGGUAGGGUAAAAGCCUACCAAGGCGACGAUCCAUAGCUGGUCUGAGAGGAUGAUCAGCCACACUGGGACUGGGACACGGCCCAGACUCCUACGGGAGGCAGCAGUGGGGAAUAUUGGACAAUGGGCGAAAGCCUGAUCCAGCAAUGCCGCGUGAGUGAUGAAGGCCUUAGGGUUGUAAAGCUCUUUUACCCGGGAUGAUAAUGACAGUACCGGGAGAAUAAGCUCCGGCUAACUCCGUG